This 331-nucleotide unclassified non-coding RNA is filed under the name uncultured fungus. Its description in RNAcentral is "partial contains small subunit ribosomal RNA, internal transcribed spacer 1, and 5.8S ribosomal RNA". The stretch from base 1 to 128 matches the Rfam family "Eukaryotic small subunit ribosomal RNA", at positions 1759 to 1831 of the family's 1831-position model. The record is from RNAcentral. Lineage: Eukaryota; Fungi.
GCAAACUUGGUCAUUUAGAGGAAGUAAAAGUCGUAACAAGGUUUCCGUAGGGUGAGUGGUUUUCUACACGUGCGAUAAGUAGUGGCAGUCUGCUAACGUUUAAUAGUGAACCUGCGGAAGGAUCAUUACCGAGCGCGGGUCGUUCAGUGAAUUCUGGCGGCCUCCUCCCGUCCUUUGUCUUCUAUUACACGCUUCGCUUCGGCGGGGGAACCCGCCGGCGUACUUUUAAAUUUUACCCGUCGAACGGUGCCGUCCGAGGUGGCAUUUUAAAUAAAAAGCGAAAACUUUCAACAACGGAUCUCUUGGUUCCGGCAUCAAUGAAGAACGCAGC